This is a long non-coding RNA of Balaenoptera musculus (blue whale), 150 nucleotides long. RefSeq lists it as uncharacterized. The record is from RefSeq and is a predicted model, not a curated record. The transcript is spliced from 3 exons. Lineage: Eukaryota; Metazoa; Chordata; Mammalia; Artiodactyla; Balaenopteridae.
AGGGGAACACUCCAUUGUGGCUGCAGCAAAUGGUGGACACCUUGACGUGGUUCAGUUACUGGUGCAAGCAGGUGUAGAUGUGGAUGCAGCUGAUAACCGCAAGAUAACUCCUCUUAUGGAAGCAUUUAGAAAGGGGCAUGUGGAGGUGGC